AUUUAAGGAAUGACUGUAAUAUUUUUUCUGUCUAUGAAGAAAUAACAUAAAAAAAUGUGGUGCACACUGAAUAACGCGCGUAGCGGGUUAUUUAACAGUGUGCACCACAUUUUUUAUGUUAUUUCGAAUAGACAGAAAAAAUAAUACAGUCAUUUCUUAUAAUGUAAUUCUAAAUUCCAUUUUAAACCGUAGAAAACCAUGAAAAAACGUUGAUGACGUCACGGUCACAUGACUAAAUUAUGUCUAUGUGC
This 251-nucleotide long non-coding RNA is filed under the name Mytilus galloprovincialis (Mediterranean mussel). Lineage: Eukaryota; Metazoa; Mollusca; Bivalvia; Mytilida; Mytilidae. The record is from RNAcentral.